CCCUUAGAUGUCCUGGGCCGCACGCGCGCUACACUGAGUGUCUGAGAUACGAGUCUGCCUGGUCCGGCAAGGUCUAGGUAAUCGCUAAAAGACACAUCAUGCUUGGGAUAGAUUAUUGCAAAUAUUAAUCUUGAACGAGGAAUUCCUAGUAAGCGCAAGUCAACAGCUUGCGUUGAUUACGUCCCUGCCCUUUGUACACACCGCCCGUCGCUACUACUGAUUGGAUGUUUAAGCGAGGUUCUCGAACUGCUAGCGACUUAGCUUCGGUGAGGUCGCAGUGGGGGAAGUGAACCUAGCUUUGGUGUCUAGAGGAAGUAAAAGUCGUAACA
RNAcentral lists this ribosomal RNA (329 nucleotides) under uncultured eukaryote. RNAcentral describes it as "partial 18S ribosomal RNA". It matches the Rfam family "Eukaryotic small subunit ribosomal RNA", at positions 1470 to 1796 of the family's 1831-position model. The record is from RNAcentral.